RNAcentral lists this ribosomal RNA (433 nucleotides) under uncultured bacterium. RNAcentral describes it as "partial 16S ribosomal RNA". It matches the Rfam family "Bacterial small subunit ribosomal RNA", at positions 29 to 507 of the family's 1533-position model. The record is from RNAcentral.
AACGAACGCUGGCGGCAUGCCUAACACAUGCAAGUCGAGCGAGACCUUCGGGUCCAGUGGCGCACGGGUGCGUAACGCGUGGGAACCUGCCCUUAGGUUCGGAAUAACUCUCCGAAAGGGGUGCUAAUACCGGAUAAUGUCUUCGGACCAAAGAUUUAUCGCCUUUGGAUGGGCCCGCGUUGGAUUAGCUAGUUGGUAGGGUAAAAGCAUACCACGGCGACGAUCCAUAGCUGGUCUGAGAGGAUGAUCAGCCACACUGGGACUGAGACACGGCCCAGACUCCUACGGGAGGCAGCAGUGGGGAAUAGUGGACAAUGGGGGAAAGCCUGAUCCAGCAAGGCCGGGUGAGUGAUGAAGGCCUUAGGGUUGUAAAGCUCUUUUACCCGGGAUGAUAAUGACAGUACCGGGAGAAUAAGCCCCGGCUAACUCCGUG